Molecule: long non-coding RNA, 828 nt
Organism: Hemicordylus capensis (graceful crag lizard)
Lineage: Eukaryota; Metazoa; Chordata; Lepidosauria; Squamata; Cordylidae
Exons: 3
Source: RefSeq, a predicted model, not a curated record
UGCGCAAAUGACCUCUGCGAGGCCGUGGGCCAUGCCAGGCCUCGCAGAGGCCAUUUACACGCGCACACUACAGAGGCCCAAAUGGGCCAAAAAUGAUCAGUUUCCUGGGCCGUGGCGGUGAUUUCAGAGGCCGGGGAGGUGAGAGGGGAACCCUUGCGGACCCCCCUGUGGCAUACUGGAAGCCUCCCAAAGGGGCUAAAGGACUGAGUUCAAGAAGAUGUGGAUAUGCGUGUCUGCGACUGAAUGAGAGACAGAGAUUCUAGCAUCACUGACUUAGAGAGCUUCCCCUGAGAACGAAUCCUUUGAUAGCAACCAUAGACAGUGUAAAUUAGAGGUGAAGAAUAUUAAAAAAUGCAGUGGUUGGAGAAUGUUCUCUUCCAUGUCUAACAACAACACCCUCUUUGUAUUGCCCUGAAUUGAAGAUGACCCUCAAUUUAAGAAGAUCCCCUUAAAAAGUAGAGUUUAAAUACAGGUUAUACCUGCAUUAACUUGAAAAGAAAAAGACUCUGAAUUUAAGAAGAACUUCUGAUUUCUAAUAUCGAAAAACAUUGUAAAAAACCUAGUCUUGGAUUCAGGUAAAUACAGUAUUUGAAACUGUCUUUCUGUAUCAAUAACAUAAAAUAGGUCAGUUAAAGAGAGAGUUCUUAUUCACCAUAGAGUUGUUUGGACCACCUCUGCCUUUCUGCCCACGAUUUUACUGAUUUUGUUUCUGAUUUUCAGUGAGGCACAGUUCAUUUGAUUAUCAUAUGACAGCACUGCUGCUACUAAGGCUCCCAAGCCUGGCUCUAGUGAUCUAAUAGAUAGUAGAUGAUUGUGGUGUUGCAGCUC